CAGUCGCCGCGGGAAUACGUAGGGUGCGAGCGUUAAUCGGAAUUACUGGGCGUAAAGCGUGCGCAGGCGGCUUUGCAAGACAGAUGUGAAAUCCCCGGGCUCAACCUGGGAACUGCAUUUGUGACUGCAAGGCUAGAGUGCGGCAGAGGGAGAUGGAAUUCCGCGUGUAGCAGUGAAAUGCGUAGAUAUGCGGAGGAACACCGAUGGCGAAGGCAAUCUCCUGGGCCUGCACUGACGCUGAGGAGCGAAAGCGUGGGGAGCGAACAGGAUUAGAUACCCCCGUAGUCCCUGUCUCUUAUAC
This 301-nucleotide ribosomal RNA is filed under the name uncultured bacterium. Its description in RNAcentral is "partial 16S ribosomal RNA". It matches the Rfam family "Bacterial small subunit ribosomal RNA", at positions 509 to 807 of the family's 1533-position model. The record is from RNAcentral.